Molecule: small RNA, 116 nt
Filed under: Marmota monax (woodchuck)
Lineage: Eukaryota; Metazoa; Chordata; Mammalia; Rodentia; Sciuridae
Source: RNAcentral
GCUGGGUGCACUGGCACACACCUGUAAUCCCAUCUACUGGGGAACGUGAGGCAGGAGGAUCUCUUGAGCCCACCAGUUUGAGACUAGCCUAGGCAAUAUAGGAGACCCUGCCUCAA